Molecule: long non-coding RNA, 1196 nt
Filed under: Chrysemys picta bellii (western painted turtle)
Lineage: Eukaryota; Metazoa; Chordata; Testudines; Emydidae
Description: lncRNA (ENSCPBG00000013136.1)
Source: RNAcentral
GUUUGAGUCUGGGGCUACAUUACUGUAGCUAUACGGCCAUUAAAUAGUUUUCUUUUACCUUGUCAGCUAUUUCCCCAUCUAUAAAAAUGUAAUUACCAAAGACUGAGCAACUUUUGUUUGUGGAUUCAACUGGAUCUAACUACUUCAGGAAAAAAUGAACCAAAUAAGAGGUUUGGAUGGAGUUCAGAAAGAACUGGAGGAAAAAGAGAGCGAAAUGAAAAAAGAAAUAUCCGAAUAUCAGAGCAGACUUCAUCAAGUAGAGAAAAACCAUGAAACUCUUCUGGCAGAAGCAAAGAAAAAGUGCUACAGCAUGUUUUGCAUGAGACGUGCGAGCGUGCGCUUACCCCACUCCUUCGCAUAUAAAGACCCCACCCCACUGGCAGUUACCAUCGAAAAGUUAAAUAGAGAGCGUCAUACAGAUCUCUGCGCGUUCGUCAUUUGGGACCCCAUCCGAACCCACUGACAAUGAAAUGAAGAAGGAAAAAAACCUUCUUUGCUGCCAGUCUGAGCAAAAAAUCACAAAAAAUCCAUCAGCUAGAAGAACUAAAAAUAGCCCAACACUUUCUAAAGGAGACCAGAAUUAUGCUGAAGAGAUGAAAAAUAAGAGUUUGUCUCAGAAAAUAGAACUGGAAGCACAAGAAGCCGAGCUUCAGCAUUUAAAAACCAACAAUAAAUUGCUCCAGGAUUCAGUCCAGGAGCUACAACUUGAAAAUGGAACCCUUAAGAAUAUGAACAAGGCUUUAGAAGAAGAAAAAGUGGACAAGCUGAAGUAUAUAGAUCGACUGAAGAAGCAAAAUAGAUUUGCUCGCAGUGAAACGAAGACAUGGAUGAAAUCCUGUGCUGAUGAGGUUGCCAACUCCCUACAUGAGAAUGAGCCGGAGUAUGAGACAGACGGAUUCCCAGAGGUGGUGAAAAAAGUCAAAUUUGUAAUGACCGACAAACACACAGAGAGACUGCAGGCCAAAGUGAGAAACAUAAAAUUGUAUGGCUCCUCAUUUCAUUGCCUGAAACUGAGAAGCUGGAUAAGUGAUGAGGUUAUUGAUGCAUAUUUGAGCUGUGUGGUCGAGAAAGCAGAUGGAAAGGUACAAGCCAUCUCAUCAGUCGUUUCUACUUUCAUUCUCUCAGACAGAGCUCCACAAAUGAAAGUGAAGAUAGCCUCGAUGGGAAAAAAAAAAAAAAGAAUUGUUAAUAAUUGA